UGAGGAAUAUUGGACAAUGGGCGCAAGCCUGAUCCAGCCAUGCCGCGUGCAGGAUGACGGUCCUAUGGAUUGUAAACUGCUUUUAUACGAGAAGAAACAUCCCGACGUGUCGGGACUUGACGGUAUCGUAAGAAUAAGGAUCGGCUAACUCCGUGCCAGCAGCCGCGGUAAUACGGAGGAUCCAAGCGUUAUCCGGAAUCAUUGGGUUUAAAGGGUCCGUAGGCGGUUUAAUAAGUCAGUGGUGAAAGCCCAUCGCUCAACGGUGGAACGGCCAUUGAUACUGUUAAACUUGAAUUAUUAGGAAGUAACUAGAAUAUGUAGUGUAGCGGUGAAAUGCUUAGAGAUUACAUGGAAUACCAAUUGCGAAGGCAGGUUACUACUAAUUGAUUGACGCUGAUGGACGAAAGCGUGGGUAGCGAACAG
This 423-nucleotide ribosomal RNA is filed under the name uncultured bacterium. RNAcentral describes it as "bacterial SSU rRNA". It matches the Rfam family "Bacterial small subunit ribosomal RNA", at positions 355 to 775 of the family's 1533-position model. The record is from RNAcentral.